Molecule: ribosomal RNA, 253 nt
Filed under: uncultured bacterium
Lineage: Bacteria
Description: partial 16S ribosomal RNA
Rfam family: Bacterial small subunit ribosomal RNA
Source: RNAcentral
UACAGAGGGUGCGAGCGUUAAUCGGAAUUACUGGGCGUAAAGCGUGCGCAGGCGGUUCGUUAAGUCAGAUGUGAAAGCCCCGGGCUCAACCUGGGAACUGCAUUUGAAACUGGCGGGCUUGAGUAUGGCAGAGGGGGGUGGAAUUCCGCGUGUAGCAGUGAAAUGCGUAGAGAUGCGGAGGAACACCGGUGGCGAAGGCGGCCCCCUGGACCGGUACUGACGCUGAGGCGCGAAAGCGUGGGUAGCAAACGGG